Athene cunicularia (burrowing owl) is the source of this 308-nucleotide long non-coding RNA. RefSeq lists it as uncharacterized. NCBI's taxonomy places the organism in Eukaryota, Metazoa, Chordata, Aves, Strigiformes, Strigidae. The record is from RefSeq and is a predicted model, not a curated record. The transcript has 3 exons.
AGCCAAGGUGACGGGAGAAGAGCCUUUUUUAUGAGGAAAGGUACUGACUGCCUGAGUAAAUUGGUGGGUGAAUCUGAAUGAGAGCUUCAUUUAUUAUUUGAUCAGGCCUACCAGAUGCGACCUUCAAUUAUUUUCUUUGAUGAGAUAGACGCUCUUGCUCCUGUGUGGUGCAGCAAGCAAGACCAAAUUCACAGCUCUGUUGUUUCAACACUUCUGGCACUCAUGGGUGGCUUGGCCAGCAAAGGAGAGGUUGUGGUGAUUGGAGCCACCAACAGACCGGAUGCCAUCGAUCCUGCUUUACGAAGACC